Molecule: ribosomal RNA, 817 nt
Filed under: uncultured bacterium
Lineage: Bacteria
Description: bacterial SSU rRNA
Rfam family: Bacterial small subunit ribosomal RNA
Source: RNAcentral
UACACAUGCAAGUCGAACGCAGUAGCAAUACUGAGUGGCAGACGGGUGAGUAACAUGUGGGAAUCUGCCUUGUGGUUCAGGACAACAUUGGGAAACCGAUGCUAAUACUGGAUAAGCCCUUACGGGGAGAGUUUUAAUGCCAUAAGAUGAGCCCGCAUUUGAUUAGUUAGUUGGUGAGGUAAUGGCUCACCAAGACAAUGAUCAAUAGCUGAUCUGAGAGGAUGAUCAGCCACACUGGGACUGAGACACGGCCCAGACUCCUACGGGAGGCAGCAGUGGGGAAUCUUGCACAAUGGAGGAAACUCUGAUGCAGCGAUGCCGCGUGAGUGAAGAAGGCCUUUGGGUUGUAAAGCUCUUUUGUAGGGGAAGAUAAUGACUGUACCCUAAGAAUAAGGUCCGGCUAACUUCGUGCCAGCAGCCGCGGUAAUACGAAGGGACCUAGCGUAGUUCGGAAUUACUGGGCGUAAAGCGCGCGUAGGCCGUUGAGUUAGUUAAUUGUGAAAUCCCAAAGCUUAACUUUGGAACUGCAAUUAAAACUGCUCGACUAGAGUUUGAUAGUGGAAAGCGGAAUACAUAGUGUAGAGGUGAAAUUCGUAGAUAUUAUGUAGAACACCAGUUGCGAAGGCGGCUUUCUGGAUCAACACUGACGCUGAGGCGCGAAAGUAUGGGUAGCAAAGAGGAUUAGAUACCCUCGUAGUCCAUACCAUAAACGAUGAUUGCUAGAUGUUGGAAAUUUAUUUUCAGUAUCGCAGCUAACGCAUUAAGCAAUCCGCCUGGGGAGUACGACCGCAAGGUUAAAACUCAAAUGAAUUGACGG